GGGCGGCCCCAGAGCCGGAGGGGCCCGGCCGGUGGCAUCCCCAGAGCCCGCGGGGCCCCGCCGGUGGCAGCCCCAGAGCCCGAGGGGCUCAGCCGUGCCGGCUCCAGAGCCCGAGGGCCCCCGCCCGCCCCGCGGCCCGGCCCGACCCGAGGCUGCGCCCUGCGCUCUCCUGCUGAAGCUGGACAGUCCCUGCGCCGCCGAGCUGGAAAUGAAUUGAAGGAAAGGAAGAAGUAGUCCCCUGUGGUCUGCCCCAAACCACUGCCUCAUACACUUGUUUCUCAGGCGCCUGUAGCUGGCCACUGCUGCUGCUGCAGCCAGCACACACCCCAGAAACAACGGCAUUGGGAUCCAGAUUUUGCAGCAUGGGUUGAGAUCCCGGAUCUGCUGGGCAGGAUGCUCUCCCAUUCCGUGUUGGGAUGCUCUCCCACUCCCAAACGUGCUGCCAGGGCUCCAAGAGCACAGUUUGCCUGGAAUGAUUGUCAUCCACAGCAGCAUUGUGGCUGGGCCUGAAGUUGGAGCCAGCUGAGGCACUUGGCUGAGAUGCACGGACGUGGAGCUGGGUGCUCACACCUUUCCAAAGAGCUGCGGCACUGUGUCCUGAUGUUGGCAUAGGCUGGCAUUAUGCUUGAUGAAUUCAGAGGAUGUUUUUACACAGUUGUGUCUGGGAAGGAUUGAAGAGGGUUUCUUCAUCUUUUUAAACAAUAGGUAACAGCAAAAUCCAUCCCCUGCCUCUUUUAAAGGCAGCUCCUUUUCCUGAUGGUUUGAUAGAUAUAAUGAGAUUCUCAAACUCGUAAAUCUGCUGCGACUUUAUUGCCCGCAUCUGUUGGAGAUGAUGUGAAGAGAACUUCAUACAGAGAGGACUCUUGAAAGGUUACAAAGGGAACCAGCAGACUUCAGAAAAUCUUCAUCUAGAGAAAACAGCCAAGAAAACCCAUGCAGAAGAAAACACUUGAGCUGGAUGAAUAGGUGUCAGGGAUGAAUGGAAGUGACACUGGCAAAGGGGCACCUUGUUGUGAAAGCAAACUGAAGCUAGUCCCCCGUGUGGGGCAGCUCUGGUGCAGGAGCCAGCCUGUGGCUGCUGUGCACAGCCCCCAGCCCAGCAAGGGGUCCUGUGCAGGGUGGCUAUUUCUCAGCUGGGACAGCUUGCUCAAUGUGGCCAUGGCCAGGAGAGUGGAAGGAAAAUGAGAUGUCCCAGCCUGUGCCUUGCCCCAGGACGAGUGGUCAGGGAGCUGUGAUUGCCAGGCAGGGGACUGCAAAUAGUGAAAAUGGGCUGGAGAUGGUACCAGAUGGUGCAGCCUGCUCCCAGAGCACAAGCUGUCGCGCAAGGUCAUGUCUGUAGUGUGAUGCAACAAUGUCCUCAUGAUGUCAUAAUGCAAGCUGGCAGCUAUUUUAGUGGCAGAGAGUUAGACUUAAACCUUUCUCUUCCCAUUGUAAGGGGCAAGAUGUGUUUACUGGUUUUCCUGCCCCAGGUAGCCCCUGCUCCUGCACCCUUGCUGAGACAAGAAAGCAAUCCCGAAAGCAGAACUGCAAGUGAAGAGAGAGCAGAUGACAUCUUUAAGCUGUGAUCAUUGAAGAAUAUUAACUGCUCUUGGGCUUUCUGACUGCCAAAAAGUGAUGCUUGAGCAAUGUGGCGCCAGGAAUCCUGAAGUCACUUUUGUAGCAUUGGAAAAUGCAGCUGCUUUGGGAUUUCAGCCCAAGACGGCUGUUAUUAUCCACUGUGCAGAAUGAAGCUUCUGUUGGGAGCUUUUACAAAGGCCAUCAGUCUUCCCAAAUAGUGGUUGUUUUUAUCACCUGGCAGUAAUGAUACUCUCUGGUCCCUUUAAUAUCUGAGUGUGUUCCCAAAGUGAGACCAGGAAACUCAUUUAGGGCUUGCCCCCUCCAAGGGAAACAGCUUACAAUUUUCUGCCAGGUAGCCCUACCGUUGUGAGAAUGGGCACGGCUCACCUAAUAAAAACCUUGCUGACAGACACGACCUCCUGGAGGUUUAUCUGAGUCGUUUGCUGUGGAGCAGAGCAACAUAUAUCAGGGCUGAAAUAGGUGCCAAGCAGCAAUCCUAAUGCACGCCGUGGCUGCUGUAAUUGAUUCGCAGGCAGGACAAAUACCCGGUGGAGAGUGCAAGGGGCCCUGCCUACUCUCCCAGCUAAAAUGUUAUAACGCUGUGUGAAAUCGUAUUGCUGAAGCCUGUGGCUAAAAUCCAUCUUGUGGGCUGGCUGGCUGUAAAGCUGCAUCAUCCAAAAUAUCCCCUUUCCUGCACGCACUGGCUGGGGCACUUGGG
Long non-coding RNA from Motacilla alba alba, 2275 nucleotides. RefSeq lists it as uncharacterized. The record is from RefSeq and is a predicted model, not a curated record. The transcript has 3 exons. NCBI's taxonomy places the organism in Eukaryota, Metazoa, Chordata, Aves, Passeriformes, Motacillidae.